ACUUAGGCUUCGGUCUAAGUUGAGUGGCGAACGGGUGAGUAACACGUGGGUGACCUACCUUCGAGUGGGGGAUAACGUCCCGAAAGGGACGCUAAUACCGCAUAACAUCCUGCCUUUGAACAGGUGGAGAUCAAAGCCGGGGAUCGCAAGACCUGGCGCUUGAUGAGGGGCCCGCGUCUGAUUAGCUAGUUGGUGAGGUAAUGGCUCACCAAGGCGACGAUCAGUAUCCGGCCUGAGAGGGCGGACGGACACACUGGGACUGAGACACGGCCCAGACUCCUACGGGAGGCAGCAGUGGGGAAUUGUUCGCAAUGGGCGCAAGCCUGACGACGCAACGCCGCGUGGAGGAUGAAGGUCUUCGGAUUGUAAACUCCUGUUGCUCGGGACGAAAAGCUUUGACCUAACACGUCAAAGUCUGACGGUACCGAGUGAGGAAGCCCCGGCUAACUCUGUGCCAGCAGCCGCGGUAAUACAGAGGGGGCAAGCGUUGUUCGGAAUUACUGGGCGUAAAGGGCGCGUAGGCGGCCUGCUAAGUCGAACGUGAAAUCCCUGGGCUCAACCCAGGAACUGCGUCCGAUACUGGUUGGCUUGAAUCCGGGAGAGGGAUGUGGAAUUCCAGGUGUAGCGGUGAAAUGCGUAGAUAUCUGGAGGAACACCGGUGGCGAAGGCGACAUCCUGGACCGGUAUUGACGCUGAGGCGCGAAAGCCAGGGGAGCAAACGGGAUUAGAUACCCCGGUAGUCCUGGCCCUAAACGAUGAAUGCUUGGUGUGGCGGGUAUCGAUCCCUGCCGUGCC
RNAcentral lists this ribosomal RNA (795 nucleotides) under uncultured Bacillota bacterium. RNAcentral's name for it is "bacterial SSU rRNA". It matches the Rfam family "Bacterial small subunit ribosomal RNA", at positions 71 to 847 of the family's 1533-position model. The record is from RNAcentral. Lineage: Bacteria; Bacillati; Bacillota.